RNAcentral lists this long non-coding RNA (469 nucleotides) under Polistes fuscatus (common paper wasp). RNAcentral describes it as "uncharacterized LOC122526539". The record is from RNAcentral. Lineage: Eukaryota; Metazoa; Arthropoda; Insecta; Hymenoptera; Vespidae.
UUAGGAGACAGAGAGAGAGAGAGAGAGAGAUAUCUACUUAUGGGUACGUGCAAACGUACAUAUCGACUGCUGAAGGAGUUGUCGAGAGGAUGUAUAUUUAAAAAAAGAAAACAUCUUUAAGAGGAUUGCAAAGCUUAAUGAGAUGCAAGACGACGUGUCGUCUAGUGACCCCAUUUAUCGUCGGUCGUUGCACGAGUGCGUUUCAAAUGUUUGAAAUUCUAAAAGAUAGUGUAUUAUAUUUCUUACCAAUUGUGGAAACGAUGGUGCCUACGAAAUGAAAACUUCCAGGAAAAUCCCAACGCCGCCUUUUGUUAAUGAUACCGGCAGAUGAUGCGUUUCCGUAGGCGUAAAGAAGUUCGUGUAAUCUCUGAAGCGCUAGUGGACUACCACGUAAGUGAUGCUUACGAAAAGCAUGAUAUACCCGCCAAAAUUCUGCAGCCUGCAUGCACGUUAUGAAAAAAAAAGAAAA